GGAACUCCCUCUAGUUGCUACCAGCAAAGAUUGUCAAGGGCAGGGUUACUUCCAAUGCCUGUUUGCUUGCAUAGAGAGGCUACUCGGGUUCCUAAACGUGAAACAUAUCGUGCUACCAGCAGCAGAUGAAGCCAAAUCCAUAUGGACUGACAAAUUUGGUUUCAGCAAGAUGACCGAAGAGGAGGUGAAAGAAUGCAGAAAAGACUACUCGGUGAUGAUAUUUCAUGGAACAUC
This is a non-coding RNA of Camelina sativa (false flax), 234 nucleotides long. NCBI's taxonomy places the organism in Eukaryota, Viridiplantae, Streptophyta, Magnoliopsida, Brassicales, Brassicaceae. The record is from RefSeq and is a predicted model, not a curated record.